UAUUUUAGUCUUGUUAGAGGAACCUGUUUUAUAAUCGAUAAACCACGUAUAUUUCACUUAUUUUAAAUAACUUGUAUACCGUCAUUAUUAGAUAACUUUUCAAAAAAUUAGUUAUUAAAAUUAAAAACAAAAUUAAAUAUAUUAGAUCAAGGUGCAGUUUAUAAAUAAGAAAAAAUGGGUUACAAUAAAAUUUAUUUAAAACGAAUUAUAUAAAUGUAAAAAUAUAUGAAGGAGGAUUUAAUUGUAAUUUUUUAUAAGAUAAUAAUAUGAUAAUAGCUCUAAAAUAU
This 287-nucleotide ribosomal RNA is filed under the name Aegla franciscana. RNAcentral's name for it is "partial 12S small subunit ribosomal RNA". The record is from RNAcentral. Lineage: Eukaryota; Metazoa; Arthropoda; Malacostraca; Decapoda; Aeglidae.